RNAcentral lists this unclassified non-coding RNA (3159 nucleotides) under Pomacea canaliculata. RNAcentral describes it as "sulfotransferase 1C3-like, transcript variant X2". The record is from RNAcentral. Lineage: Eukaryota; Metazoa; Mollusca; Gastropoda; Architaenioglossa; Ampullariidae.
UUCUAGCUCAAGUUUUAAAUAUGUAUGAAUAAUUUAACCACGGACUAAAACAAUAGGAACAAAUGUAACUGAAAUGGCUUUGAUGACAGCAAAGGUUUAUCUAGCAAAGGGGAGUCACUCUCCUGCGAGCGUCUCACCAGUGCAGUUGCAUGUUGUAUGUGUGUUGAGUCUGGUCUGCCAGAUAUCUAUUUACAUUUCUUUUUGCUAGUAAAUCAUGUCUGGAGCUCACCUAGAGCUGAAGGACAAGUUCGGCAAUGUCAUGAGGUUUGGAAUUGGAGGAGAUAACUGGUAUCCUCCUUUCCCCUUAAUCCAAGAUCAUCGUCAACACAUCACAGAGGUUCGUCACUUGGAGCUCCGUCCAGAUGAUGUUCUCAUGGAGGGGUUUCCUAAGACAGGAUCUCACUGGCACCACGAGAUUUUGCACAUGCUUUUGGCCGGAUCGGCGGAGUACAUUUUGAAACUCGAGUACAAAGAAUUUCUAGACUUCUUUCCUGAGAAGGAGUUACUGCCCUCUGAUCGACCACGUGUGCUAUUUACUCACUUCCGCUAUAAUCAUCUUCCUCUGCAAGUGUGGGAGAAAAAGGUCAAGGUUGUAUACUUGACCCGAAGCCCCAAGGACACGUGGGUCUCAUUUUACAACCAUUUCCAUGGUAGCGCGGGGUUCUCCAACUACGAUGGCACAUGGAACCACUUUUUGGAAGUCAUGAUGGACACGGGAUUCUACUACGGGGACUGGUUUGACUACGUGCUGGACUGGGAGGCUAGGCUGGCAGCUGACAAAGAACUCAACUACAUCAUCUCAUCAUUUGAGGAUCUCAAGCUGGACCCCGUGGGACAGAUACAGAACCUGGACAAGUUCCUGGGUCUCAACAGGGGCAGAGAACUGUGUGAGCGCAUCGCGGAGGCUUGCAAGUUCUCUAACAUGAAGGCGGUCAAAGAUGCGCAAACGCCGAGUGAGAUGGAAAGAAAAAUAUGGAAGCAAAACGCACCAGGCUUCUACAGGAAAGGCGAGGUCGGGGACUGGAAGAACUGGUUCACUGUGGCCCAGAACGAGGCUUUCGACGAGAUGUACGAGAAACGUAUUGCCGGCAGUCAGCUGACCUACAGAUACCAGUGACGAGUGUCUGAUAUUGUCACUUAUGUGCCAAGCCUGUUUCCAGUGACAUCAGAUGUUGUCAUGGACACCAUCUGAGUACACGUUUUGUUCUGGAACAUUUUUCUGUAUGUGUUACUUAUUGUGUGUCACCCCGGACCUCAAAAUAUCUCUGUGACAAUAUUGACGCAGUGCCACAGGGUAUAUACCGUGUAAGAGAAGAAAGGGACAAAACCACAGCUGUCUGCAGUUCUCUAUGUUUACCUCCCCUCCACCAUCAAUCGGAGUCGCCCUCUUCUUCCUUUCCCUUUCAUCUGACCUGGUCUGCAGCGAACAAAUGUGAUCCCAGAUCGCCGGGAUAAAACAUUUUGUAGUCUAAAGGAAUUAAAAUUGUCUGGGUUCAUAGCCGAAAUGGUUCUGACAGAUGGAAUGGCGAAAAUAAUGACCGUGAAUAGAUGUAAAAUGUAAAUAAUCCUUUUAUCAGUCAGUAGCCUUGUAACCUGAAGGUGUGUGCUCUGAAAAGGCUCAACAUGUGUAGGGUUGGGUGAUGACAGGGAGUUUUCCAGUCAGUGACUGAGCGAAGCUGAAUCCAGAGGAUGUAGGAAGUAAGCUACAAGACACUCUUACGGAUAUCGCAGGGAGAAGGGAGAAAACUUUGUGAAAAUUUCCAGCAACAGGUCUGAGAAGACCUUCCGCCCAUCGCACUAACCUCCAGGGGCAGCACAAUAUGUAAUUUACAUUGUAUAUCUGGCCUCUGAUGUUUUAGUAAAAAUCAGUGUAAGAUACCAUUUUCAAAAAUCUGUGUGAAUAACCGUCUCUCGUUAUUGAAAUACAAACACCAUCAGCCACAGUCAGUAUCGUGACCUCACCUUUGAAAGACUGCACUUGUUUACACUAAACACUUACUUGUUUAUACUAAACAUCCACUUGUUUACACUAAACAGCAAAUUGUUUACACUAAACAUCGCAAGACACGCUCACAGCAUGAGAGAGUGUGGAUGCUGUAACAUCUACCACAGUAUUACUACAGGCUUCCUCAUAAACACAACAAACAUUGAGCUUAAAAUUCAAGGGAAGAAACUGCGAAGAAGACGACAACUGCACCACAGGGCGAGUGCGAUGUGCCGGGGUGAAGUGGGGUGGAGUAAUGUGGGGGAAUAGUCAGCGGAUGUAGAAAUAUUUUAACCUCUGAAAGCCGUGAGUGGAAUGUAGUGCAGCUGACCUAGAGAUAGAUGUUUGCACAGGCCUGAAACAUCUGUCACCUUGUCGUGGGUACAGCUAAGUGCAGACAGAAGGUUUGGCUGUCAACCAGAUUGGACUUCGCAGUAAAUGGACUGACUGACCGACCGACGAAUGACAGACAGACAGGCUGACUGACAGACUGACACCAAUCAUUCAUGGCUAAUGAGAAAGCGUGAUUUCUUAAAAAGUAGAAUUUUCAGUCGUUUCCAGUAUUUGUGUGUGAGAAAUGUGUGAUUGCUUAUUGCUUGAUUGAAUGUCAGUCAGUAAAUACUGUGUCACCACAGCAGGCGUUAUUAAGGCAACAAAGGGUUAAAGUAGUAAGAGCUUUGAAAGGUUGUAACUGGAUAAAAAAAAGAAUUCAAUAAGUUUGAGUUAUGUAGAAAAGAUAUAAAAAACAUAUAUUUUCUUGAAAUAUACUUAAAAUAUAAGGCUCAACAGCUUCUCUUCCUUCUCCGUAAGCUGAAGUCUUCUCUGUCUCCCACCAAUUUCUUCAGCUUUUCUACAGAUCGCACAUAGCAUACUGUCCUCGUUUAUUUGUUUCUACAACAGUUUGUCGGUGAAGGACAAGAGCAGCCUACAUCGUGUGGUGUCCACCUGCUCCAAAGUCAUCUGAUCAACUCAGAGUUAUCUUCAGACUCUGUACAAUAGACGGACUCUUCUGAAGGUGUCUGCCAUUCUUGGUGAUGACAGGCAUGCUCUGUCGACAGAACUUGUCAGACUCCCGUCCGGCCGCCGAUGUUGUGUGUCUGCAUGCAGGACAAACAGACUGCGGCUGUCUUUUGUUGUUUCAGCCGUGCGACAUUUGAUUGUUGUGAAUGAGACAU